GACGUAGGGGGCCAGCGUUGCUCGGAAUUACUGGGCGUAAAGGGUUCGUAGGCGGUGUGGCAAGUCGGGAGUGAAAUCUCUGGGCUUAACUCAGAGGCUGCUUCCGAAACUGCCGUGCUAGAGUGCAGGAGAGGCGAGUGGAAUUGCAGGUGUAGCGGUGAAAUGCGUAGAUAUCUGCAGGAACACCCGUGGCGAAGGCGGCUCGCUGGACCGCAACUGACGCUGAGGAACGAAAGCUAGGGGAGCAAACAGG
Molecule: ribosomal RNA, 253 nt
Filed under: uncultured bacterium
Lineage: Bacteria
Description: partial 16S ribosomal RNA
Rfam family: Bacterial small subunit ribosomal RNA
Source: RNAcentral